GACGUAGGGGGCAAGCGUUGUUCGGAAUUAUUGGGCGUAAAGCGCUCGUAGGCGGGAUCGAAAGUCCGUGUUGAAAGACCUCGGCUCAACCUCGAGACGCCGGUGGAAACCAUCAGGCUAGAGUCCGGAAGAGGAGAGUGGAAUUCCUGGUGUAGCGGUGAAAUGCGCAGAUAUCAGGAAGAACACCCGUGGCUAAGGCGGCUCUCUAGUACGGUACUGACGCUGAGACGCGAAAGCGUGGGGAGCGAACAGG
RNAcentral lists this ribosomal RNA (253 nucleotides) under uncultured bacterium. Its description in RNAcentral is "partial 16S ribosomal RNA". It matches the Rfam family "Bacterial small subunit ribosomal RNA", at positions 524 to 776 of the family's 1533-position model. The record is from RNAcentral.